RNAcentral lists this long non-coding RNA (1192 nucleotides) under Callithrix jacchus (white-tufted-ear marmoset). RNAcentral's name for it is "lncRNA (ENSCJAG00000082225.1)". Lineage: Eukaryota; Metazoa; Chordata; Mammalia; Primates; Cebidae. The record is from RNAcentral.
CACAUUUUUAAUUACAUAUAAUUCUUAAUAACCUAUUCCAGAAAAAUAAAAUUAAAGUGUAUAAAGUAGGCUACUUUUAACAUUAUUUUUAUGUAUUCAGUCGAAAUUCAACCCAGGUAAUUUUGAAACCAGCCCACCUUUACUGCGUUUAUGGUAUUUUCAGGACUAGUGUUUAUGGUAUUUGGGUAAACAUAGAAAUUUGACCCUCCUGGCCUUAAAGCUUUAAACUUGCAUUCAUCUUAUCUGAGUUCCUUGCUCAGAAAAACAACCCUCAGGUUUCCCUGAUAGUACCAAGAAAAUGAGACUUACCUGAUCAUCUUAUCUAGACAAUAAGAUGCCAGAUCCCUCAUCUGUCAGGUUUGCCUGAUCAACCACCUGCUGCCUGUUGACCAACUCUUAUUUCGUAUCUCUCCCUAAUUCUUGUUUUCCAGCAUUUAGUUGUAUUUUUCCUUGCCUUCUAAACCCCUAAUUUUAGUUGGUUGGAGAGAUGCAUUUGACAUUGAUCUCUCAUAUCCUUGGCUCCAGCAUCCUGUUAAGGCACCCCACUAAAUUCUGCUUGCCUGGUAGUGCUCAUUCUGUACCACCCCAUUAAAUUAUCUUUCCCCAGCAAUACUCAUUGUCCUAGUAUUGGGUUUCUGUGGGGCAAGCAAGAAGAACUAGACUGAAUGCCUGGCAUUUCAGUAAUACUUUGCUUCUUCCUCAUUUUCUCUUGCUGCAGCCAUGCAAGAAGUGCCUUUCACCUCCUGCCAUGAUUCUGAGGCCUUUCCAGUGACAGGAAGUGAAAAUUGGGACAGUGAGAGAAGAAUUAGAGAGAGAUGGAGUUAAAGUUUUGUCUCAGCUUGAUAUCACAAGGCCACCCUGACUGUGGAUGAUUCUGCCUCCAAAGAAGCAUGAAGUAAAGAUUACCAGAAGAAAAAGUUCCUUAUGUCAUCACUUCCUUGCUCUCACAGACUGUUAAGUGAUGGAGAAAAGUAAAGAUUCACAUUUCAGUGCCUAUUUGUAUUUUUGUACUACUGAGUUUGGAAACUAGUGGAGGUGAUCUGUAAAAACAAGGGUACAUCACCUUUUAAAAAUAUCUUCAUAUAACAGAGAAAAGUUAAAAUCAUUUGUGUAACAAAAUAAAAAAAUAAACAUAGAGCAGAUACCUGAGAACUGGGUCUUAGAAGAGAGACAAAGAAAGAGAAAAGAAUGG